AUUGAACGCUGGCGGCAUGCCUUACACAUGCAAGUCGAACGGCAGCACGGGAGCAAUCCUGGUGGCGAGUGGCGAACGGGUGAGUAAUGUAUCGGAACGUACCUUUCAGUGGGGAUAACGUAGCGAAAGUUACGCUAAUACCGCAUAUUCUGUGAGCAGGAAAGCAGGGGAUCGCAAGACCUUGCGCUGAUUGAGCGGCCGAUAUCAGAUUAGCUAGUUGGUGAGGUAAAGGCUCACCAAGGCGACGAUCUGUAGCGGGUCUGAGAGGAUGAUCCGCCACGCUGGAACUGAGACACGGUCCAGACUCCUACGGGAGGCAGCAGUGGGGAAUUUUGGACAAUGGGCGCAAGCCUGAUCCAGCCAUGCCGCGUGAGUGAAGAAGGCC
RNAcentral lists this ribosomal RNA (385 nucleotides) under uncultured bacterium. RNAcentral describes it as "bacterial SSU rRNA". It matches the Rfam family "Bacterial small subunit ribosomal RNA", at positions 30 to 416 of the family's 1533-position model. The record is from RNAcentral.